This 253-nucleotide ribosomal RNA is filed under the name uncultured bacterium. RNAcentral describes it as "partial 16S ribosomal RNA". It matches the Rfam family "Bacterial small subunit ribosomal RNA", at positions 524 to 776 of the family's 1533-position model. The record is from RNAcentral.
UACGGGGGGGGCAAGCGUUGUUCGGAAUUACUGGGCGUAAAGGGCGCGUAGGCGGCCUGCUAAGUCGGACGUGAAAUCCCUGGGCUCAACCCAGGAACUGCGUCCGAUACUGGAAGGCUUGAAUCCGGGAGAGGGAUGCGGAAUUCCAGGUGUAGCGGUGAAAUGCGUAGAUAUCUGGAGGAACACCGGUGGCGAAGGCGGCAUCCUGGACCGGUAUUGACGCUGAGGCGCGAAAGCCAGGGGAGCAAACGGG